AAGAAGUUGAGUGGCGGACGGGUGAGUAACACGUGGGUAACCUGCCUAAAAGAAGGGGAUAACACUUGGAAACAGGUGCUAAUACCGUAUAUCUCUAAGGAUCGCAUGAUCCUUAGAUGAAAGAUGGUUCUGCUAUCGCUUUUAGAUGGACCCGCGGCGUAUUAACUAGUUGGUGGGGUAACGGCCUACCAAGGUGAUGAUACGUAGCCGAACUGAGAGGUUGAUCGGCCACAUUGGGACUGAGACACGGCCCAAACUCCUACGGGAGGCAGCAGUAGGGAAUCUUCCACAAUGGA
RNAcentral lists this ribosomal RNA (296 nucleotides) under uncultured bacterium. RNAcentral's name for it is "partial 16S ribosomal RNA". It matches the Rfam family "Bacterial small subunit ribosomal RNA", at positions 85 to 375 of the family's 1533-position model. The record is from RNAcentral.